Small nuclear RNA from Ochotona princeps (American pika), 159 nucleotides. Its record names the gene U1. It matches the Rfam family "U1 spliceosomal RNA". From Rfam's summary of the family: U1 is a small nuclear RNA (snRNA) component of the spliceosome (involved in pre-mRNA splicing). Its 5' end forms complementary base pairs with the 5' splice junction, thus defining the 5' donor site of an intron. The record is from Ensembl. NCBI's taxonomy places the organism in Eukaryota, Metazoa, Chordata, Mammalia, Lagomorpha, Ochotonidae.
AUGCCCUCUGUGCAGGGGCGAUACCAUGAUCACAAAGAUGGUUUUUCUAGGGUAAGACUUAUCUGUUGCAAUCUGGAUGUGCUGACCCCUGCGAUUAGCCCAAAUGUGGGAAACUGCACAAUUUGUGAUAGUGGGGAACAACAUUCGCAUUCUCCCCUA